RNAcentral lists this transfer RNA (73 nucleotides) under Roseobacter phage DSS3P8. It matches the Rfam family "tRNA". Rfam says of the family: Transfer RNA (tRNA) molecules are approximately 80 nucleotides in length. Their secondary structure includes four short double-helical elements and three loops (D, anti-codon, and T loops). The record is from Rfam by way of RNAcentral. Lineage: Duplodnaviria; Heunggongvirae; Uroviricota; Caudoviricetes.
GCCCGGUUAGCUCAGCGGUAGAGCUUCGCCUUUACACGGCGAGUAAGCGGCGGUUCGAUCCCGCCACUGGGUA